This 253-nucleotide ribosomal RNA is filed under the name uncultured bacterium. Its description in RNAcentral is "partial 16S ribosomal RNA". It matches the Rfam family "Bacterial small subunit ribosomal RNA", at positions 524 to 776 of the family's 1533-position model. The record is from RNAcentral.
UACGAGGGGGGCGAGCGUUGUUCGGAUUCACUGGGCGUAAAGGGUGCGUAGGUGGUCAGGUAAGUCUGAUGUGAAAGCUCUGGGCUCAACCCAGAAAUGGCAUUGGAUACUAUCUGGCUAGAGGAAUGGAGGGGGGACUGGAAUACUUGGUGUAGCAGUGAAAUGCGUAGAUAUCAAGUGGAACACCAGUGGCGAAGGCGAGUCCCUGGACAUUUCCUGACACUGAGGCACGAAAGCUAGGGGAGCAAACAGG